RNAcentral lists this transfer RNA (70 nucleotides) under Collichthys lucidus (big head croaker). It matches the Rfam family "tRNA". Rfam says of the family: Transfer RNA (tRNA) molecules are approximately 80 nucleotides in length. Their secondary structure includes four short double-helical elements and three loops (D, anti-codon, and T loops). RNAcentral also lists the same sequence under 1 other name. Lineage: Eukaryota; Metazoa; Chordata; Actinopteri; Sciaenidae. The record is from Rfam by way of RNAcentral.
AGUAAUGUCAGCUAAUUAAAGCUAUUGGGCCCAUACCCCAACAAUGAUGGUUAAAACCCCUCCCUUACUA